Molecule: transfer RNA, 72 nt
Filed under: Coniochaeta sp. 2T2.1
Lineage: Eukaryota; Fungi; Ascomycota; Sordariomycetes; Coniochaetales; Coniochaetaceae
Rfam family: tRNA
About the family: Transfer RNA (tRNA) molecules are approximately 80 nucleotides in length. Their secondary structure includes four short double-helical elements and three loops (D, anti-codon, and T loops).
Source: Rfam by way of RNAcentral
GGCCUUGUAACUCAAUGGCAGAGCGUCCGACUACGAAUCAGGAGGUUGUAGGUUCGACCCUUGCCAAGGUCA